Molecule: long non-coding RNA, 5141 nt
Organism: Lagenorhynchus albirostris (white-beaked dolphin)
Lineage: Eukaryota; Metazoa; Chordata; Mammalia; Artiodactyla; Delphinidae
Exons: 2
Source: RefSeq, a predicted model, not a curated record
UAGCUCCAAAUGUGGCAGGAAGUGGGCGUGGGGGGGUCGGGGGGGGGGGAAUCGGGAGGCGCAGGGGGCGGGAUCCAUAAAAAGCGGUGUGGAGGUGUACAGCCUGAGCCUGACUCCACGCCACUGGGUAAUUUAUGUUGUCACACUGCUGUUCUUGGUGCGGAGGCAUUCAGAAUGUCACAGAGGCCAGACCUACGGGCUCCUGGACCCCUGGGCCGGCAGGGCAUCUUGGAAGAACAGUGUUUGGUUUGAUACCUGCAGCAGAGGGGAGGAAAGCCCAGGGACGUAGCGUGAGGAGGUGAUCCAUCGUGUCCCAGUACAUCCGGGACUAGCUUUCUGAGCCCCCUAUCCAAAGCUGGCUUUAUUUCCGUUAACACUGGUGCUCCCGCAUCUCACGAGUACACGCUGUGUCCUCUCCUCUCUGCAUUUCAUUAUCCCCCCCACACCCCCAGACAUGGGGAAAGGGUUGAGCAGCAAGCCUUGGUUCAUGAACGUUUUAAUUCCUUGUUAAAGUAAAUUAGGCAAUGCCAAAGGCUGUGGGUUUGGUCCUUGGAAAAAACGUGGGCCUUAAAGAUGGGAGAGUAAAUUUUGGAGGGCUUUAUUGAAGAAAUAAAAGACAUCUUUUGUAUCUUUCUUCCCCGGAGCCCUUCAUUUUUGUAACUGUGUUCCUGUUGGUUUAAUUAAACAUAGAAAGGUAAGAUGUUGAGUCCACCUGCCUUGGAGCAGACCCAGGUCUGAACUUUUUCAAAUCCUUGACACAUUUAACUUGAAGGAUUUGAAACACACAAUCAUAGGUUACCUAGUUCAGUUUUAUGUCCUACUGGAUUGAGUUUUUUUUUUAAUGUUUGAAAGCAUAGUUUUAUGGUAGUCCUUCUGGGAAGAAUCCAGUAUUAUCUAAAAUUAUUGGCAAAGUUAAAUGUAUUUUACGUAACAAAGUUUUUAGAAUGUUGAGAAGUAACUGAAAAUAGAGUGAUGUUUAGGCUGAGGUAAUUUAUUUCAAUACAUCUUUCAAAAGCCUUAUCUUGAAACACUGUUAGUAAAUUUCUGUGAUUAUUUUUCUUUUUAAAUUGGUUUUGCUGAGAGCAUAGCUAUUUGUUUUUAUUGUAAAACAAUAAUAAUGAUAAUAAAAAGCAAACUCUCCUAGUGUGUUGUGUGUGGCUGGGAGGUAAGGCAGUUUUUUUCGGAGGUGCGGAGAUUAGAGCGCGUUUUGAUUUUGUGUGUUCCGUUCUGGUUGGAGGGUUUUUUCAUCCUUAUAAUUAUAUAUGUGUGCAUGUUGUGCACAUUUAAAGAUGAUACCAAUUCCAUGUGUUCUUAUGUUUCAGAUGUGUGAAAAGAGAAAAUGUUUUGGAGUCAAUUUUAGAGGGUCCUGAGACAUUGGAAUACAGCAAUAUGACAGUGAUCAAAGUGGAGCCAUGCCUUUAAAAUGACCCCAAAAGAGAAGUCCUAAAUUCACCCAUAGAUUUUACACCUGGAUAGUAAAGGGUUCUGGGCACUAAUUGUAUUGUCUCUUGAGUUUGGUCACUUCUUGAGGGCAUCUGCGACAGAUGGCAAGGGCAGGAGGCUAGACCAGUGUCCCGUUCCAUCAGGUGGUCCCCAUCCCAUGGCCCCUUCACUGUGCUGGCCGUCUCCAGGAAGGGAGCCUGUCCUCGUGCUCCGCCACGUAGCCCAAAGCGGAGGCCAGGCUGCUGGUUCACGUUUGUAAACUGAGUGUUUGGGUGCUCUGUGAAUGGUGGUGGAGGUGCCCUUGCCCUCUCUGGGCUCUUUUGGAAGUGCUCUCCCUCACUCCCUCCAUUUUCUUUUGGCUCUGCUGACAUCUUGGGUUCUUGCUUUGUUUUUUUUUCUCCCCCUAAUUUUGAGGCUUUUAUGUACUGUAGAGAUCGAUGGUCCUUGUGGAUGUAUUUCUUGUGUUGAUAUAAAUCCAGGGUGCCCAGGUGGGCUUGGACCUGGUUUCCCACUUGAGCUGUGCAGACAAUAUGCUUUUUUAUCUUUAGCCGGCAGACGUGGUCCUCUCUGGGUGCGCCUUUCCCCAGUACGGGGAGGAAGCGGAGAGCUCUGUGGAGCAGGGCCUCACCUGCAGGAGGAGCCGUGGCCCUGCCGCCAAGCUGGUCAGGGAACAACGCCUGCCUGCCCUGAAGGCCCUCCGUCACCUGAAUGUCUCCAUCUCUCGGUGCCCCUGACUGCACCUUAGACUCGCUUGUGGAGUCCCUAGAGACUAUGAUGCGUAGGCUGUGCCGCCACGUGUCUCAUCUAAUUGAAUUGGUCUUUCCCUGCACCCUUUCCCAAGAAAAUGCUUCUGGAUCCCAUUUUAAGGAAGAUAAGGCAAAGAAGCUUCCGUUGUUUUUAUCUACAAAAUUCAUAUGCAAGAACUGUUAUUCUAUGGCUCAUUUUUUUUAAGAGAAGUUCAGGUACGCCAUAUGUAGAAGUCACGGCAUCCUGCAGCCUUUCGUCUGCAUCCCCCCAGACCAGUGUCCUGAAGUCAAGCUGUGGCCAGGAGCGCAGGCUUCCCAUCAACAGAGAUGGCUGUGAGCCUCCCUCUGCAGAUAAGUUGGGGCGAGGGGAGCUGGUGGGAGCAGUGCUGGGGGAGGGGUGGGCCUGGCUGGCUCACCAGCAGGCUUGUCUUGGCUGAGGAGCUCCCGGAUCUGUUCUUUGUUAACAGGAGGGGACUAGCCUCUUGUUACGCCACGGUCUCUGCAGCAGUAUCAACCCCCACUUUCCAUCCUCACUAGAUUCAAAAGGCCACUGGAAUUGCCAAGGAGAGGACUUCCUGGGCUCUUGGUGUGCGGAGGAUUACAAUUAACUGCCCUUGCCCAGACCCUGCCAUCUCCUAGGUGGAGCACUCGACUGCUUGGCUAGUAAGCGAUCCAUGGACAUGAUGCAAGGAUUUUGAUGAGCUGUGUUACCUCCAGGUCUCAGUCUCAACUGAUGUGCAACUAACUGCAGUAGAAACCUGGCAACCCAGUGGAGAGGUAGUGAGACCUGCCACCUGGAGGAAUUGAGAACCAGAUUCCGUACACCAGGCUGUGCUCAGCUGCUCCGUGUGUGUUCAGCCUGCCGGGGACUUCUGGCAUCCAGGUGCAACAGGAGAGGCUUUUAAAGCUGUCCAACACAAACAUCCCCACAUGAGAAAGAGCGAACACAGGUUACUGAAACAAAGGAAAAGGUGGAGGGGCGCACGCACACAAAGGGAGCAUCCAUCUGAGAGACGGAGAAGCAGAAUGUCAGCGGGAAAAACCACAACCCGGUUCCCAAAGACUAUGAAAGCUGAUCUGGUAUGUAAUACAUAGUGCUCAUCAGGACAAAAAUAAAACCAAAAUCUAAAACUAAAAAAAAAUGAUAAAGGUACUCUGUAGAAAGGGAGCUGGGGGAAACUGUUUCCUAUAGGGCUCUAUUUAUAUAUAUAUAUAUAUAUAUAUAUAUAUAUAUGUUCCAUAUUCUUUUGGGGCAGCUACUGGCCCGUGAGAGCUGUGCUUUUUCUAUGCAAACCUGGAGUGAGCGUGUGGUUGGAGUGGCUCGGGCCUGGGCGGGGGGAGGGCUGUGGACGGUGAGGCCGCGUCUGGAAAGCGUGGCCUGAGCACACUCCCGGGAACCAGCGCCCCGGGUGCGGACAGGCGGCACCUCUGCAGGUAGGAUGGGGUGGGCAUGGGUGCAGCUGUGGGUGUUUAUUUCAGAAAGAAAAAAAGAUGGAUGAGAUGCUGAGUUUUCCUUUAUCCUUUUUUUUUUUUUUUAAGCUACAAAGCACAUGGGAAAUGUUCUUCUUUUCCUUUCAAAUUCUAGAUGUAAAGACUCAACUAAAACCGGAUUCUACAGCAUUCUACAGAAAUACACAGCCGUCAGUCACUCUGGGUUGUAGGUUAGACAGGGGCUUGAUACAGAAAGGCUGUGUGUCUUACAAAGGCCAAAAGGUCAUGCUACCAGGAGAUCAACGUCAACAGCAAAGAGUCCGUGAAGCAGUCUGUAGAGAGAGAGAUAAGGGGUCCAGUCUGACCAUUUUCCUUGAUUUAAAACACCAACCACCCAACCAACCAACCAACCCUCCAACAUGUUUAAUAAUGUUGAGGUGGGGCAAGAUGGGGCAGCAUCGCAGGGGGAUCAGGAAUCCAGGGGAAGUCUAGCCUGGGCCUCCUGGGAGGCCUCACCCCUCAGGACCCUGACCCAGCCAGGUCUGCAGAUCUGCCCUCCCCUCAGCCACUCCUGCCCGUUCUCCACAUCACUCCCCUUCUCUUGCCAGCCCUCUUGGAGGGGGAGCCCUUUUGGAGGGAGGAGCAGCUUCAGCUCUGCAGGUGACCUUGUGCUUUGCACGGCCCGCCCCCUCAGCUGCUUGCAGAAAGCAGCCAGAGUCUCCCUUUUCUCUGACUCUUGCCUUGUUAACAUGAAUAAAGAAAACUCAGGAGACAGAGAGUGGAUUGGGCAGAGCAGUGACUCUUCUAAAUUCUUGAAGUUAACCACCUCUACCACCCAAAAGAGAAGCAUCCUUAAUUUUUCUGUCGGGAGUAUAGGGCAGGGAGACAUUUGGGAUGCUGGCCAUUUUUUAAAGGUUUUGGAAUUCGCACAAGAGCAGGACAGAACUGACAGCACACAGCCUCAGCGUGUGGAUGCAGAGGAAAAGGCUGGACUAAGGCCAGGCCUUUCCUUGCCCUCUCCCUGCUCACAGAAAUGGGUCUCAGAGUGUAAAAUCAUGUGGCUGUUCUUAAAAGGAUGGACUCCCAAAUCAGGACUGCCAUCGUGACGUACGUGUGUGUGUGUGUGCGUGUGUGCAUGUAAGUGCAUGCUCAGGUGCUGUCCCAGGAAAACCUUAAUGAUCAAUGGAAUGUUGGUCAGUUCUGUCUGAAGCUCCUUCUAGUACAAACUAAAAAAAAACUUAAUAUAUAUUUGUCUGUCUAUAUAUAAGGUUUGUUAUGCCUUUUUGAAGUUAAUUUACCAACUUGCAUUUGUUUGUUAGUGGAGUGUGUAUGUGUGCAAGCUUUUCUGUGAAUGCUGGAAUCAUUACCAAAUAGGUUGCUAUACAGGACAAGAGGUCAGUACAAGCCGCAGCCCCGGAGGUUGUUGGCAAUGAUGAUGUCAGUGACAGCGUCGAAUACCACCUGGAUAUUAUUCGUGUCUGUGGCACAAGUCAUGUGACAAUAAAUUUCUUUGUUGGGUGA